This is a long non-coding RNA of Seriola dumerili (greater amberjack), 891 nucleotides long. RefSeq lists it as uncharacterized. The record is from RefSeq and is a predicted model, not a curated record. Lineage: Eukaryota; Metazoa; Chordata; Actinopteri; Carangiformes; Carangidae. The transcript is spliced from 2 exons.
GCUGAUGACUCUGUGCUUUUUGGUUCUUUAUUAGAUUUUAGAAACUCUGUUCCAACCAGAAAUCACUUUUGGAAGCUAAAAUAAGUCUUCAGCUCUGACGAGAGAAAGGCUCAUUCUUGGGUUUUUUUCACGACUCUGCAUCACACACCAACCUGGUUUGAUCCUCCACACCUGCCUGAAGGAAAUCAUGAACGUCUGGUGCCAGUUUUCCUGUUUGCUGCUCGUGCUGCUCUCUGCCGCUCAGUGCACUGAGGGGGCAACUCCUGAGGACUUCAAGAAAAGACACGUCAUCAAUAAAAUGAAAGAGGGAGAUUGUCAGAGAGUGAUUGAUGACAGGAAGAUAAAGAACAUGAACAAGUACAAGGAAAUCAACACCUUUAUCGUUGACAAGUAUGAAAACAUCAGAAAAGUCUGUGACUAUGGAACUUGCACAAAUAAUGGUCAAUACAAAAGUAUCACAUGUACAAGUAAUACAAUAUUUUAUAUUGUUGAUUGUAUACUCCAGAAUAAAAAGUACAGAGGUUCAGCGAAAUUCGCCAGAAUUCAAAUCUCAUGCAUCAAUGGUUUACCUGUGCACUACAUAAAGCAUCUGUGAGGUGCUUAAACAGCUUCGUUUUACUUCACCUGCUUGUGAAACAUGAUUAUCCUGAUUGUGAUGCUGAUCCUUAUUCAGGUCAGUCUUGCUUUGUGUGCACAUCUUAUGACUGAUAUUCUUUCUGGUUCCUCAAAUCGCUUAAUGCCAAUAGUCUAAUUAUCAUAAUAAUAAUGAUAAUAAUAAUAAUAAUGAAGUUUUUGGAGCAUAUUUCUGUGCGUGUUGGAAGAACAUUGUAUAAGUCUUCUUGUUUUCCUCUGUAUCGCUGUGGACAAGCAGGAAUAAACUGAGGAUGAGCA